CCAGACUCCUACGGGAGGCAGCAGUGGGGAAUAUUGGACAAUGGACCGAGAGUCUGAUCCAGCAAUUCUGUGUGCACGAUGAAGUUUUUCGGAAUGUAAAGUGCUUUCAGUUGGGAAGAAAGAAAUGACGGUACCAACAGAAGAAGUGACGGCUAAAUACGUGCCAGCAGCCGCGGUAAUACGUAUGUCACGAGCGUUAUCCGGAUUUAUUGGGCGUAAAGCGCGUCUAGGUGGUUAUAUAAGUCUGAUGUGAAAAUGCAGGGCUCAACUCUGUAUUGCGUUGGAAACUGUAUAACUAGAGUACUGGAGAGGUAAGCGGAACUACAAGUGUAGAGGUGAAAUUCGUAGAUAUUUGUAGGAAUGCCGAUGGGGAAGCCAGCUUACUGGACAGAUACUGACGCUGAAGCGCGAAAGCGUGGGUAGCAAACAGGAUUAGAUACCCUGGUAGUCCACGCCGUAAACGAUGAUUACUAGGUGUUGGGGGUCGAACCUCAGCGCCCAAGCAAACGCGAUAAGUAAUCCGCCUGGGGAGUACGUACGCAAGUAUGAAACUCAAAGGAAUUGACGG
This 568-nucleotide ribosomal RNA is filed under the name uncultured bacterium. Its description in RNAcentral is "bacterial SSU rRNA". It matches the Rfam family "Bacterial small subunit ribosomal RNA", at positions 331 to 916 of the family's 1533-position model. The record is from RNAcentral.